This 489-nucleotide ribosomal RNA is filed under the name Triticum aestivum (bread wheat). RNAcentral describes it as "partial small subunit ribosomal RNA". The record is from RNAcentral. Lineage: Eukaryota; Viridiplantae; Streptophyta; Magnoliopsida; Poales; Poaceae.
AUGCACAUUUUUUCAUUCUCCCUGAAUCCACCGGUAUUGGUCUUUGUUCAAAGCAAAGAGAGGGCAAAAAAGCUCUACAGAGAGCUGGUAUAUGACGACAUUAGAGUUGAUGUAAUCCAUGGAGACCUUACUGAAGAGCAGCGUCAAGAUGCUGUUCAUUUGAGAGCUGGAAAAAGCUGGGUGCUAAUAGCAACAGAGAUUCUUGCGCGGGGAAUGGAUUUCAAAUGUGUCAACUGUGUAAUCAACUAUGAUUCCUUGAGUCCGCGUCUGCCUAUUCACAGAAUAGGACGGUCUGGAAGAGCAGGCAGAUCGGGGGAGGUGAUCACGUUCUUCACGGAGGAGGACAAGCCGUUCCUGCGGAACAUCGCCAACAUACUGGUAUGUUCGGGCUGCGAGGUUCCUUCCUGGAUGGUGGCAUUGCCCAAGCUCAAUAGCAGGAAGCACAGGGUGGACAGGGACCGCAUCUCCUUUUUAACCGAUGAAGAUUGA